This is a non-coding RNA of Podarcis lilfordi (Lilford's wall lizard), 5658 nucleotides long. The record is from the annotation of a GenBank genome assembly. Lineage: Eukaryota; Metazoa; Chordata; Lepidosauria; Squamata; Lacertidae.
GUAGUGAAGGGUUAACCUUCUGUGACUCGAGCCUGAGAGGAGGUGUGUACAAGGGAAGUACGCCAGGACGUGACGAAAGCAGCUUGGAAUGCUGUGAGCUGAGUGAAAAUCGAAAACAGGUUGUUGCGUCGCUGCACUGAGAGAGAAGGACGCAGAGAAAAUGCAGCUCCACUCUGAUGGCUGUUAUGGAUUGUAAAUAAGCUAUUUUGUUCCCAAUAAAGAGAAAUUAGGAUAGAAGAAACGUUUGGACUUAUUUAGUGCCCUUUCGACACACAGAUGCUGUGUAAUUCUGCUAAUUGCUUUACGACCGCUCCAAAGCCACACUGCGUAAACAGAAGCUGCAGAGGCCCACAGGGGAAGCGUGGCUGGGCACCAAACAAUAAAGCAAUAAAUCUAUCGGAAGAGGUUAUGGGUCAACGCCAAGAGUGUAAGAAAGGGCUUUGAAGACUUUAAAAGACUGAACGUCAGCUUGAUCGACUGCCAAGGCUUCAAAUAGAGCAGAGGGCAGAUUGGAGGAGGCUGAUGGAGAGGGAGCUGAGAGCCACGUCGUCCAGAGUGCCCGGUUUAGCUGCAGAGUGAGUAUUAUCGGCUGCUCUUGCAAAAGGCCAACAGAAGGGAAGGGAGGUAAUGGCUCAGCCCCAUGCACAGGCUUUGAGUUUAAACUGCCGUGUCAGAAACUGACUAGUCAAAAUUGGCUGCAGUGGAGCUUUCAAGUGGAGCUGUUGCUGGUGGGGGAGCAGCUAUGGGACGUAGUCCAGCCCCCACAGAACGCAGCUGGGAAAGCAGAGGCUAAGAGGGCUGCAGAGCAAAGUGAAGUGGAAAAGCGUGUGCUUGCUUUUUUGGCAGAAAAUGUAGAUGCUCAUCUAGUGCCAGUAGUCCUGGGUGCAAGAAGGCCAGAGGCCGCUUGGCAAUCACUCCGAGAGGCUUGUGGAGCUGGGGUGGGAAGCAAGGGCUGAGACGUGGCUGCCCCAAGGAAAGAGAGGCAAGAUGGCGCCGGCCACAUUCUUGAGAGCCGAUACACAGCUGGGAGGAGCUGGGAGCCCCCACGGGAGGGCGAAGGGACUGUUGCUGUUGCUGGCAAUGCUGCUGGUGCUUUUGCUGAGCCUGGGAGCUGUAUGGAUGCUGCAACGUGUCUGUGUGAGGAGCCAGGAGAGAGGCCAAGAGUUGGGAGCCCUUAACCCAUCAGAGGGGGUGCAUGAAAACGUCCUGGAGGCCCCGUGAGUAGUGGGGGGGGCAGUGAGCAGUGAAAGCUCAGAGACGCCUCUUUCUCCAAAAGCUGCCAAGAGUUGUUUAUGCCAAGAGCUGAAGCCUAGCCGUGCUGGAGGCGCCAAGGCCGGCCACCUGCAGCAAAGACAGAUAAGAGCUUCGGAGUUGUGUGGGAACGCUGAGACAAGUCCGGUCUCCAAGGCAACUGAGAGAGUUGCAUCUACGGAAGCUGUGAAGGUCGUGGGCAAGUCUCCCUGCCGGGGGGAGUCUGUUGCCGUGACAACCAGAGAGAACAUCUGCAGAAGCCCCAAGGAGGGGGGUAGCGAGGAGAUUGUUGCCAUGGCGACCCAGGAAUGUCAACAACAAGACUUUCUCACUGUAAUAAUCGACUCUGGUGCCACAAACACGCUGGUGCCAUCUAGUGGUCUUUUAAGAAAUUGCAGGACAGUAAAAAACUGAAAGAUUUGUGAUGAUCGCGGAUGGAAGCAGAAAAAGACUAACAGAGACAGGCUUUUUCUUCUGUCCCUUUCUUAAGCAUGAAGUCAAAGCUUUUGCGGUGCCUGGUUUAACUAACUGUUUAUUAAGUGUGCAUGAUCUACUUGCACAUGAUGGUUUUCAUGUGUCUUUUGCAGGUACCAAGUGUGAGUUUUCCAAGGAUGGGAAACACGUGUACACAGUGCAGUCUAAAGACAAUUUGUUUGCUGUAAAUGUGCCUUUUUCUACAGGAGAGGAUGACACCGAAGAUGCAAAGGGGCAAUGUGUGAAUAUGGCGCCCCACCAUGGUUGUUCGCAUAUUUGGCACCAACGCUUCGCCCAUUUGAAUUGGAGAUAUCUUCAGAAAGCACCAGAGCUGACACAAGGGUGCAAAUUUAAUGUUUGCGACAAAUUUUUAGAUUGCAAUGCAUGUAAACAAGCGAAAAUUGUGACAUGCUCAUAUCCAAAGUCAGAGAGGCAGACCACACAACCCUUUGAGUUAAUUCAUGCAGAUUUGUGUGGACCCAUGUCAGUUGAGUCACUGGGAGGAUCAAAGUAUUCUCUGCUUCUGGUUGAUGAUUUCUCGAGGUCUGCUUGGACCUUUGCCCUGAAAACAAAAGGGGAGGCGGCUAAAAUGAUCAGGGAUUGGAUCACCGCAGUUGAGGUAACCUUUUCCACCAGAGUGCGUGGCUUUCAAAGUGGCAGAGGUUCUGAAUUCACUGGUUCUGCUUUACAGGAUUUCUUUAGGGAGAAGGGGAUUAGCCACAGACUGACCGCUCCUUACUCUCCGCAACAGAAUGGGAUUGCAGAGAGAAAGAACAGGACGGUGGAGGAAGCUGUGUCUGCGAUCCUGUGGGACGCAGGGCUACCCCGGAAAUAUUGGUCUGAAGCUUGGAGAUUUGUGGUCCAUACGCAGAAUAGAGUGUGCAACUCUAGUGUAGGAAAUACGCCAUAUUUCUUGCUGCAUGGAAAGAAGCCUAAGGUACACUACCUUCGUGUGUUUGGUUGUGAGGCUUGGGUGCUUAUUCCAAAGGCUCUACACAAGAAAGGUGAGCCAAGAUCUAAAAGAAUGAUCUUUGUAGGGUAUGAGCCUGGCUCAAAGGCCUGGCGGUUUGCGUACCCAAGUGGAAACUAGUCUAGGUUGGUUAUCAGCAAUAGCGCUGAGUUCUGUGAACAAGCUGGUUGGAAGCGCCUGCACGCUAAUCCAGACAUGAUUUCACAGCAGUUCUUUUUUGUUGUUGUUUAUGUUUUAUUCAUACAUUUAUUUGAGCACACACAUUUCAUUAAUCCAUAGCUUGGCCAUGUUUGCACAAGAUGCUUCUAAGCAAUUGUUUACCUUAACAUUAGCAAUUAUUGAUUCCCUUUUUAUUCUUUAUUUGCCUCUCAUAAACAAACAAACAGACAGACAGGCAGACAGACACAUGCCUGCUAGGCUACUGGGCAUAGAAGCGAAGCUGAUCGCUUAGGGUGAUAAAAUUAACCACAAUAACUUUGCAAGGUACACAUUGCAAGGUACGCAGAAUGUAGCUAGCGGCUGUGAACAUGAGCAUAUCUAUAUACCUGUUGGUUAAGCACCUGUCUUUAUCAGAUAAGAAACUGACUUGACCUUAUAUGAAGGAACAGUCAGCGGUUAGGGCAGGCAUAGGCAAACUCGGCUCCCCAGAUGUUCUGGGACCACAACUCCCAUCAUCCCUGACCACUGGUCCUGUGAGCUAGGGAUGAUGGGAGCUGUAGUCCCAAAACAUCUGUAGGGCCGCGCUUCCCUAUACCGAUUUCACAGCAGUUCUAUGACUCAGACGUUGAGGAGGAAGAGGAACUUGUUGCUGGGGGCCACGGUCCAGAGCAACAGGAUCCACCACAGGGACAGAGUCCAAGGCAGGGACAGCUCAGGAUCCCUCGGGGGGGGGACCUAGAACACCUCCUCAGGCAAGUGUCAAGUUUGAGCCAAAGAGUGAACCUUCUUCACCUGCUGGACCAGCUGUAAGGCCCAAGAGGCGCAGCAGGUCAGAGGGGGAAGACACUGAAGUUGAGGAUGAUUUAGCUGGACCCAGUGAAGCAGCAGGGUCACCAAGAUUCACACUGAGGAGAUCAGCGAGGACUAGGAGGCCUCCUGAUCGGUACGAUGCUUCAAGCGUCUGGGUAGGUUCUGCAAGAUGUGAACCUGAAUCCUUCGAGGAUAUUCAGAGUUUACCUGAGGAAGAAGCAGGUAAGUGGCACAGGGCAAUGGACAAAGAGAUGAAGUCCAUGAAAGAUCUAGGUGUGUUCUCACUCACAGAGUUGCCACCGGGAAAACAGGCUGUGAGUUGUAGGUGGGUUUACCGCUUGAAACCCACUAACACUGGAGAGCCACAGUAUAAAGCUAGGUUAGUUGCUCGAGGAUUCACUCAGAGAAAGGGAAUACACUUCACGGAGGUGUAUUCGCCAACGUCACGAGCGGAGACUCUGAGAACGCUUUUAGCUUGUGCAGCACAGAGAGGCUGGAAGGUAAACCACUUUGAUGUGGAUGUUGCCUACCUAAACUCAGAUCUCCAGGAGGAGCUAUACAUGAUUCCUCCUCCGGGGUUUGAGAACUUGAGGCAGGAUGUUGUGUGGAGAUUGCACAAAUCCAUCUAUGGAUUACAUCAAUCUGCUAGAAACUGGAACAUGUGCCUGAAUGAAGCCUUAGAAGAGCUAGGUUUCAGAAGAAGUGUUGCUGAUAAUUGCUUUUAUUUGAGAGGUUCAGGUGCAACACAAGAGUAUUUGCAGAUUUGGGUUGAUGACUUGUUAUUCUUCUCAGAGACAGAUGAACAGGCAGAGAAGUUUGCCAAAGAGCUAGGUAAACGGUUCAAGCAUAAACAGCUUGGUGCUGUCAAAACCUAUCUAGGUGUCAGUGUUGAGCGUGCACAGGAUGGAAGCUUCUUGCUCAGCCAGAAAGGCAAAAUUGAGCAAUUGCUUCAGAAAUUCCGGAUGAGUGAUUGUGCAGGAGUGAAGAGUCUUAUGGAGACUAGUUUUGUGAAGGACAGCCAGCAAGUAGAACGCGCUGCGUUCGAAAAUAUUGAAGUGUUUCAGUCAGCCCUAGGGAGUUUGUUGUACUUAUCCCAGUGGAGCAGACCUGAUAUAGCAUUUGCUGUCAAUCUGCUCAGCAGGGAAGCUUCAAACCCUUGUGUGCAAGCCUGGAAUGGCAUCAAGAGAGUUCUGAGGUAUUUGCAGGAAACCAAAGACUUUUGUCUUAGGUUACCAGCACAAGGAGAAGUCAAACUGACUUGCUUUGUGGACUCGGAUUGGGCUAAUCUUGAGGAUCGCAAGUCUGUGUCUGGCCUAGUGGUGAAGUUUGGGAACUCAGUAGUUGGAUGGAGGUCCAAGAAGCAAAGUCUUAUAGCACUCUCAUCCACUGAGGCUGAGUUCAGUGCUGUUUCAGAGGUGUGCAGAGAAGUAGAGUUCUAUGCUUGCUUAGUGCAGGAACUCUGCAAAGUGGAUUGUCAACCGAUACAUGUUUUCGAAGACAAUCAACCAUGCCUGCGUUUGGCAGAGUCAGGUCAGUGCAAGGCUAGAACUAAACACCUAGACAUUCGCUUUUGGAAUGUGUGCCAGAGUGUUCAGGAGGGAUUAGUUGCGCUGAAGUAUUGUCCCUCUGCCAAGAACCUAGCUGAUGGGUUCACGAAGCCACUCCCCUUCCAAAGACAUGGGGAGUUUUGCGAAGGUCUGGGUUUGGGACGACCAAGGGUCGAUUCUCCCCUCAGGCGCAAGGCAAGAGGAGGUGUUGGGUGUAGUGAAGGGUUAACCUUCUGUGUCUCGAGCCUGAGAGGAGGCGCGUACAAGGGAAGUACGCCAGGACGUGAUGAAAGCAGCUUGGAAUGCUGUGAGCUGAGUGAAAAUCGAAAACAGGUUGUUGCGUCGCUGCACUGAGAGAGAAGGACGCAGAGAAAAUGCAGCUCCACUCUGAUGGCUGUUAUGGAUUGUAAAUACGCUAUUUUGUUCCCAAUAAAGAGAAAUUAGGAU